UCCACUAUGUUCCACAACAUGGCAAUAUGUCAUCAAGUAUGUUUUUCUAUUCAACAUAGUCCACAAUAUGUAAAUUCAUAAUAUAUCAUCAUGCACAUAUACCACUAGCAUCACAUGAUUUGUCAACAUACAUAUAGUCAUUAUCCAAAAUAGUCCAUACUUAGCAUCUCAUGCAUUCUUUUAGCACUUAAUUCAUUAUGCAUUACAUUUAGCAUUUCUAUAGUAUGUUAACAUGCAUUCUAUUCACAUUCUUAUAUUAUGUCAAUAUGCAUCAAUAUGAAAACUCAUUUCUUAGACAUAAAGGGCGACCUAGUCGCUUCGGUAAACACAACCCACCUCAUUUCGCAUUCCGAUUGCUUGUCGACACUUACAAUCGGCCGCCCGCGGCACCCGGCACCCGGUUUGGCCCGAUCUCUCGCGCGACCACCCGAACGGCCUCCAAUUCACGAUCCGAAAAUUAAAG
RNAcentral lists this long non-coding RNA (463 nucleotides) under Ananas comosus (pineapple). RNAcentral's name for it is "long non-coding RNA (ACOM_LNC037620)". Lineage: Eukaryota; Viridiplantae; Streptophyta; Magnoliopsida; Poales; Bromeliaceae. The record is from RNAcentral.